RNAcentral lists this non-coding RNA (26 nucleotides) under Mus musculus (house mouse). The record is from RNAcentral. Lineage: Eukaryota; Metazoa; Chordata; Mammalia; Rodentia; Muridae.
UGAAAGCUCACCAGUCUCACUCUGCA